This 72-nucleotide transfer RNA is filed under the name Astyanax mexicanus (Mexican tetra). It matches the Rfam family "tRNA". From Rfam's summary of the family: Transfer RNA (tRNA) molecules are approximately 80 nucleotides in length. Lineage: Eukaryota; Metazoa; Chordata; Actinopteri; Characiformes; Acestrorhamphidae. The record is from Rfam by way of RNAcentral.
GGCUAGUUGGUCUAGGGGUAUGAUUCUCGCUUCGGGAUGCGAGAGGUCCCGGGUUCAAAUCCCGACGAGCCC